GGUUAAGCGACUAAGCGUACACGGUGGAUGCCCUGGCAGUCAGAGGCGAUGAAGGACGUGCUAAUCUGCGAUAAGCGUCGGUAAGGUGAUAUGAACCGUUAUAACCGGCGAUUUCCGAAUGGGGAAACCCAGUGUGUUUCGACACACUAUCAUUAACUGAAUCCAUAGGUUAAUGAGGCGAACCGGGGGAACUGAAACAUCUAAGUACCCCGAGGAAAAGAAAUCAACCGAGAUUCUCCCAGUAGCGGCGAGCGAACGGGGAGCAGCCCAGAGCCUGAAUCAGUGUGUGUGUUAGUGGAAGCGUCUGGAAAGGCGCGCGAUACAGGGUGACAGCCCCGUACACAAAAAUGCACAUGCUGUGAGCUCGAUGAGUAGGGCGGGACACGUGGUAUCCUGUCUGAAUAUGGGGGGACCAUCCUCCAAGGCUAAAUACUCCUGACUGACCGAUAGUGAACCAGUACCGUGAGGGAAAGGCGAAAAGAACCCCGGCGAGGGGGAGUGAAAAAGAACCUGAAACCGUGUACGUACAAGCAGUGGGAGCACGCUUAGGCGUGUGACUGCGUACCUUUUGUAUAAUGGGUCAGCGACUUAUAUUCUGUAGCAAGGUUAACCGAAUAGGGGAGCCGAAGGGAAACCGAGUCUUAACUGGGCGUUAAGUUGCAGGGUAUAGACCCGAAACCCGGUGAUCUAGCCAUGGGCAGGUUGAAGGUUGGGUAACACUAACUGGAGGACCGAACCGACUAAUGUUGAAAAAUUAGCGGAUGACUUGUGGCUGGGGGUGAAAGGCCAAUCAAACCGGGAGAUAGCUGGUUCUCCCCGAAAGCUAUUUAGGUAGCGCCUCGUGAAUUCAUCUCCGGGGGUAGAGCACUGUUUCGGCAAGGGGGUCAUCCCGACUUACCAACCCGAUGCAAACUGCGAAUACCGGAGAAUGUUAUCACGGGAGACACACGGCGGGUGCUAACGUCCGUCGUGAAGAGGGAAACAACCCAGACCGCCAGCUAAGGUCCCAAAGUCAUGGUUAAGUGGGAAACGAUGUGGGAAGGCCCAGACAGCCAGGAUGUUGGCUUAGAAGCAGCCAUCAUUUAAAGAAAGCGUAAUAGCUCACUGGUCGAGUCGGCCUGCGCGGAAGAUGUAACGGGGCUAAACCAUGCACCGAAGCUGCGGCAGCGACACUAUGUGUUGUUGGGUAGGGGAGCGUUCUGUAAGCCUGUGAAGGUGUGCUGUGAGGCAUGCUGGAGGUAUCAGAAGUGCGAAUGCUGACAUAAGUAACGAUAAAGCGGGUGAAAAGCCCGCUCGCCGGAAGACCAAGGGUUCCUGUCCAACGUUAAUCGGGGCAGGGUGAGUCGACCCCUAAGGCGAGGCCGAAAGGCGUAGUCGAUGGGAAACAGGUUAAUAUUCCUGUACUUGGUGUUACUGCGAAGGGGGGACGGAGAAGGCUAUGUUGGCCGGGCGACGGUUGUCCCGGUUUAAGCGUGUAGGCUGGUUUUCCAGGCAAAUCCGGAAAAUCAAGGCUGAGGCGUGAUGACGAGGCACUACGGUGCUGAAGCAACAAAUGCCCUGCUUCCAGGAAAAGCCUCUAAGCAUCAGGUAACAUCAAAUCGUACCCCAAACCGACACAGGUGGUCAGGUAGAGAAUACCAAGGCGCUUGAGAGAACUCGGGUGAAGGAACUAGGCAAAAUGGUGCCGUAACUUCGGGAGAAGGCACGCUGAUAUGUAGGUGAAGUCCCUCGCGGAUGGAGCUGAAAUCAGUCGAAGAUACCAGCUGGCUGCAACUGUUUAUUAAAAACACAGCACUGUGCAAACACGAAAGUGGACGUAUACGGUGUGACGCCUGCCCGGUGCCGGAAGGUUAAUUGAUGGGGUUAGCCGCAAGGCGAAGCUCUUGAUCGAAGCCCCGGUAAACGGCGGCCGUAACUAUAACGGUCCUAAGGUAGCGAAAUUCCUUGUCGGGUAAGUUCCGACCUGCACGAAUGGCGUAAUGAUGGCCAGGCUGUCUCCACCCGAGACUCAGUGAAAUUGAACUCGCUGUGAAGAUGCAGUGUACCCGCGGCAAGACGGAAAGACCCCGUGAACCUUUACUAUAGCUUGACACUGAACAUUGAGCCUUGAUGUGUAGGAUAGGUGGGAGGCUUUGAAGUGUGGACGCCAGUCUGCAUGGAGCCGACCUUGAAAUACCACCCUUUAAUGUUUGAUGUUCUAACGUUGACCCGUAAUCCGGGUUGCGGACAGUGUCUGGUGGGUAGUUUGACUGGGGCGGUCUCCUCCUAAAGAGUAACGGAGGAGCACGAAGGUUGGCUAAUCCUGGUCGGACAUCAGGAGGUUAGUGCAAUGGCAUAAGCCAGCUUGACUGCGAGCGUGACGGCGCGAGCAGGUGCGAAAGCAGGUCAUAGUGAUCCGGUGGUUCUGAAUGGAAGGGCCAUCGCUCAACGGAUAAAAGGUACUCCGGGGAUAACAGGCUGAUACCGCCCAAGAGUUCAUAUCGACGGCGGUGUUUGGCACCUCGAUGUCGGCUCAUCACAUCCUGGGGCUGAAGUAGGUCCCAAGGGUAUGGCUGUUCGCCAUUUAAAGUGGUACGCGAGCUGGGUUUAGAACGUCGUGAGACAGUUCGGUCCCUAUCUGCCGUGGGCGCUGGAGAACUGAGGGGGGCUGCUCCUAGUACGAGAGGACCGGAGUGGACGCAUCACUGGUGUUCGGGUUGUCAUGCCAAUGGCACUGCCCGGUAGCUAAAUGCGGAAGAGAUAAGUGCUGAAAGCAUCUAAGCACGAAACUUGCCCCGAGAUGAGUUCUCCCUGACUCCUUGAGAGUCCUGAAGGAACGUUGAAGACGACGACGUUGAUAGGCCGGGUGUGUAAGCGCAGCGAUGCGUUGAGCUAACCGGUACUAAUGAACCGUGAGGCUUAACCUU
This 2906-nucleotide ribosomal RNA is filed under the name Escherichia coli. Its description in RNAcentral is "23S ribosomal RNA". It matches the Rfam family "Bacterial large subunit ribosomal RNA". Lineage: Bacteria; Pseudomonadati; Pseudomonadota; Gammaproteobacteria; Enterobacterales; Enterobacteriaceae. The record is from RNAcentral.